UACACUCCUGCGGGAGGCAGCAGUGGGGAAUUUUGGACAAUGGGCGAAAGCCUGAUCCAGCAAUGCCGCGUGAGUGAAGAAGGCCUUCGGGUUGUAAAGCUCUUUUGUCAGGGAAGAAACGGUGAAAGCUAAUAUCUUUUGCUAAUGACGGUACCUGAAGAAUAAGCACCGGCUAACUACGUGCCAGCAGCCGCGGUAAUACGUAGGGUGCAAGCGUUAAUCGGAAUUACUGGGCGUAAAGCGUGCGCAGGCGGUUUUGUAAGUCUGAUGUGAAAUCCCCGGGCUCAACCUGGGAAUUGCAUUGGAGACUGCAAGGCUAGAAUCUGGCAGAGGGGGGUAGAAUUCCACGUGUAGCAGUGAAAUGCGUAGAUAUGUGGAGGAACACCGAUGGCGAAGGCAGCCCCCUGGGUCAAGAUUGACGCUCAUGCACGAAAGCGUGGGGAGCAAACAGGAUUAGAAACCCUAGUAGUCCCA
Molecule: ribosomal RNA, 474 nt
Filed under: uncultured organism
Description: partial 16S ribosomal RNA
Rfam family: Bacterial small subunit ribosomal RNA
Source: RNAcentral